Long non-coding RNA from Mus musculus (house mouse), 8079 nucleotides. RefSeq annotates it as predicted gene, 31455. Lineage: Eukaryota; Metazoa; Chordata; Mammalia; Rodentia; Muridae. The transcript has 5 exons. The record is from RefSeq and is a predicted model, not a curated record.
AAUUCUGCUUGCUCAGCCCUGAGGGUCGGAUGUAAAUUAAUAGGGGCUAAAUGGGAUGUGACCAAUUUGUAAGGCAUGUGUUUCUCUCUCUGAGAUGGGAUCUCUCCAGUCCCAUGUAAUCAGAGCUUGCCGGAGGCUGCCCCAGGACUAGCCUGUACAACCAUAACCUUGACCACCUCUCUUAAUGGAUGCAAGACCUCACAGCUCCUAUUACACCCAAGCCCAACAACCUUGUAAAUUUACUCCUGUGACGCUAAUGUCCUCCCCUCCUUGAGACAAAACCUACACAUUGGGUCCUGGCAUGUUGGGAACAAAGAAGGGGAGGGGGAGCUGGGGAGAAAGGGGGCUUAAGAGGCAUUCAGUAUGUUUGGUGGAGGCUUAAGCUCCUUGGAGCAGCCUUUGUGUCUGGAUGGGGCAAAAAUUAUGCAACUUCCAUGUCUCCAUCACAUCAAAGGGGCUCUGGAAGAUCUCUCAGAGCUCAAGAGGCGGGCGGCCCAGUUCUCUCCCAUCCAUGUCUUAAAUCACGCUUUUAUCUGCCUCCCCAUCGAAACUGAUGCUAAGUGUCCCUGACACACACAUCCUCCAAAUAAUUUGAACUUGAUCUGAGGCUUUCGGCCUUCUUGACUUUAAAAAAAAAGAAAGAAAGAAAGAAAGAAAAGAAAAUUCCUAUGAUUUGCUUGGCAACCAUCCACCUCAGCACAGAGGAUCUGGGCAGUGAUGUUGUUGGUGAGGAGCAGUCGUUGCCAUGGCAAUGCAGAGUUCAAAGCAAGGGCUCUGAGUGCUGUCAGAACAGGCGAUAGUGAUAACAUGCUGAAGGCUGGUGUCUUCUCUUCUUACGGAGGGACUCGCACCCACAAAAUGAUGGGGAGGAGGCGGCAGCAAGGCCAGUCACCACUCCAGUUAUGUUCAUCGUGUCUACUACUCCCUUAAUGGGAAAUGUGCACCACUGGGAAUCUGAAGACCACAUCUCAACCUUAACAAGGAUCUGCACCUACAAUCCUUAUUCGGCAAAAUUCCCAGAGCCAUUUUCUGUUUCUCAAACCCGUGGGCAGCGCCGCCGACAUCAGCGGAUGAUCUCCUCUUUCAAACUCCUUUACAGAAUCAAGAGAAAGGAAACCUAGGCCGCCACAGAACCAGGCAGCGUUGAGCAGUAUUCAGACAGAGCCCGAGUCCUGUUUCUUAUUUAUUCUGAACAACUUGCCGUCUGAUGAGAAAUCACAGUGUUGGCAAGGACUUCGAGUGCCUGGAUCCUGUCCCAGACAGAAAGUUUCCACGAUUUCCUUUACGUCAUGGGAACGAGAGGAUCUGCCAACCUUUAGAGAAGAUCCUCUCUGCAUUCACCUGGCAAGGAUUACCCAGAGAAACCUGGACCUUCUAUUAAACAGCAGCUCUUCAAAUGUUUGGACCCUUGCUCUCACAAACAGCCUCUGGUCCCUCAGAGUAUCUACCCACCACGCAGCAGCUCUUCAUCCUAGGACUGGCAUCAGUUCACCAAAGGCCACCUCUUUCUGAGAGAUAGUCCUAAAGAGGCUCAUCUCCAACCGUGAGGCUCUAAGGAAGGCUCUCUCUCUCUCUCUCUCUCUCUCUCUCUCUCUCUCUCAUCAAGCAGCUUCUUGUCUCUAGGAACUGAAUCAGUGGGAAUCCCUGACCUCUCCAAGGUCACCCUCUGCUCUCCUGGGAUGAUAUCAGAGCACAGGCUCAUUUUCUCUAUGAUACUCCAGUGCAGCAUAGAGAAAAGUGCUGUCCAUUUUCACAGGAUUCUUCUGAGGAUUGGACUACUGCUAUCAUUGAGGGAGGGGGACUAAUGGGACAGGAUGUAGUAAAACUUGGAGCAAAAAAUGAAAUGUCAGUGUGGAGAUAAUCUGCCUGCUUGACCUUCCUACCAUCCCCCGAAGGAAUCGAUAACACAUCGUCCUCCCAACUCCGUGUUCAACUAGACUUGUUUUCUGUUGGGGUGGGGCAUGUUUUUGUUCUUCUUUAAAGGAGACCACACAAACUGUCAAGAUAACCUGGAGAUUAGCAUGAUAGACCCUUCUUAUUUCCUAACACCCUAGUGAAGAGGUGACUUCACAUGAAAGGCCAGUGAUCCAGAGCCACCUCCCUACAGGGUCAGAGACAGAACACCCAGCUAGCAAGAUCUGGCCACCAGGCCUUUGGGCUCAGCGACAAACAUGACCCAUGCUAUUAAGUAUUGGGAAAGGAAUCAAUGUUGUGUGCUCUGGCAAGCCCCAGGUUCUGCCAGUAAGGGGGGACAGAAGGAAGGCACGGAGCUGGGGCUCAAGCAGGGAAGGCCCAGCACCUGCCAGGGUUGGCCCAUUGCCUGUGAUUGUACCCAGUUCUUUGGUCUAGCUUGGUUUGUAUUUUAUAUAUAUUUUAACUAUGCUCAUGGCAGCACUGUUCCACUCUAGGCUUAUGCAAGGGGCAAAGCAGAAGUAAAGACGAACAAACAGUGCUCUAGAAACCGGCAUGCCUCCAUUUCUUCCCUCUGCCUCUGUCUCUUUCCCUUUGUCUCGCAGAUUUCAAUAGCCACCAUGACACCUGGUGCUUAUACCCUAUGCCCUACCCUGUACCCUACACCAAGUGACUGGCCUGGGCUCUGCCUGUGGCUGCCUUUCCUGAGCCAUGAUGUAAAGCUAUGGAUGGUGAGCUCAUGAGGGGAGCUGAGGUAUCCCAUGACACCCUACCCUACCCCUGCCUCCUCCCCCAGCUCCAUCUCUCCUUUAGGACCGCCUGAAUUUCAGUUGAAUGUAAUGAAAGAAAGUUGGCCCCAGAGGUGUCUCUAAGUGUCUCUGCCCAGAACCACAGAGAAUUUUUUUGGCAGAACUUCCAAGGUAGAAGCAAGUUCCUAACAGCCUUUUGGGAUGUCAGGGACAAUUAGACAUCUGCAUUCCCUAACCAUCCCUUGGGAAGGGGGAGGCCAUGUGCCCACCAGACUUCUGCUAAAGUGUUGCUUGGGUUGGAUUUGGGUGUUGCCCCUUCUUUCUCUGUCCUUAGGGGUCAAGCAAAGUGGAAUACAAGACAUCUCUUACUUGGGGCGAGUCUGACAAACCAAUGUGUUUACAGGGGAACUUGGGGCUGGUGGCCAUGAGAUAACAGAGACUCCUGAACCCACAAGUACUGCCGGAGGGGGCAGGGAUGAUUGAGCCUGUGACAAAAAGAUACCCUUUCCAUUUUGUUCCAAGAAAGUUGUGAGAGCCUGUGUUUAAUCGGUCUUUCACCCUGAGCUUCAAAUUCUAAGUCACUAAGAAUCAAGUCACAAACAGAGUGUCUUGUCCUUGCUGGAAAUGACAACUCCCGUAGCUGGAUGUAACAGCCCCCAAGAGGGCUUCUUCCUGGCAGGGGUGAGUAGCCGCCAGCUGUACAGCACUGGGUGAGCCCUAACAGGACCAGCCUUGCAGAAGACCUCAGAGGGGAGAACCCUAAGGUCCACCUGGGCAUCUUCGCCUAUGGCCUGCCACAAUGGUCCCUGUCACACGUGUGGCCCAAGUCUGCUGCUCACAAACAGCAGAAACUGGGUUUGGAGGAGCAGAGUUCCCCCAGUAGAGACAGCUCCUCCCUGUUCUGCCCAGAUAGUGGGAAAAGUGGGGGCGAGGGGGUAUUGCCAUCUCUGCACAGGUGGACAGCGUGCGAGCUGCCCACCUCCCUGCAGUGGAGCUCACUGACAAAAAAAGACAGCUGCAGUUCAACUAAGGGGCAAAUGAUUCCAAAAUGAGCUACAAGUCAGUUUACACAGAGGAGCAGGGCAAACUCUAUUAGGUUGCAAUCUCUAGUUGGGAAAUGUGUUUCUAAAGGGAGUGUGCGUGCCAUGGAAACAAAGCCCCAAAGCCCAGUUUCAGCUUAUUAGCGCUAAAUUGGCCACAGCAAAUGAGCACUGCAAUUGUCAGUGACCUGAGGUUUUAUAAGCACACGGGGACUGUUUGCAGAGAUUUUACAUGCGCCCUGCCGAGCAGCUGAAGGGAGGCAACUCAGCCUAGGACUCCCAUUUCCAAAGCUCAGAACAGCCAUGAAUCCAUCCCAUCAGGUACCCUCUGCACAGGGAUCUCCCUGGGGCGGAAACCUUUCUGAGAUCUGUGCCUUGCACUCGGCUUUCUUAAGAGGGGAAGAACAGCAAGUAAAUGGUACAGACAGCAAGAUCUGUGGGCAGGAGCCUCCGGGUCAAACCACCGAGAGUAAAUCUGGACCAACCCUGUUCUGGCGGGGAAAUGCGGGUGGUUCUGAAGUCACUGACAGAGACUUACGAAGGUUCCACUCUGCAGGGAAGCAGGGAAGAAUAGCCUCUAGCUUAGAUUCCAUCUCCCUUGUAUUGUUACAGUUUUCUCUUGGUAGAUCUCACCCUUCAUAGAGUUCAUUUAUGAAGGGCAGAGAUGGAGGCAUAAGCUGUUUGCAUCAUGAACAGAACUAAAACCUGAUCGGUUCCAUGAAGGUCCUAAGCAAGAGUCUAAAGGGAGAAUAAGGUGGGAGCCCACACCAGGAAGAAUGAUAGAAAAAUAUCAUUUCUGGGGAGAACUCAGAAGACGUAGGCUCUAAGAAUCAGAGAAGUGUCUGGGGUGGAAAGAUGAUGGGUACCCGGUACAGGGGCAGGAUUGGUAAGGAUGCUUGCAGAGGCAGAAGUAAUCCAAGGAGCAGAGGGAAGAAGAGGCAGGCAGGGUGAGUUAUGUCAAGGGGCUCAUAUGUGCAGAGCCUGGGUCUGGGGUCUAGGCUAUGCUGAUUAAUUUUCCAUUCUUAAAACUCUUCUUUCCGAUUCUAAAACAUUGUUCUCCGAGUUCUUCUAGCACUCUAGCCAGUCAUGGCAUUCCAUGCUAGCCCAACAACAACAACUCACACACACGUGUAUGCACACAUGUUCUCACACAUACACACACAUGUACACAUUUGGACACAUGUGCACACACACAGACACACAGACACACAUACACAGGCUAUUUGGGGUUUGCUGUGACUCAACUCUGGACUAAUUGCUCCUUUUCUUGAAUCUUCUCAUCCCUUUUCCCCUUGAAGCACCAGGCACUCUUGGAGGCUUCUAUUAGUGACCCAGAAGUCUAUGUUUUCUUUCAAAUUCAAUUAACUCAGCACACACUCCCAAAACAUCUACAAUGGAGCAAGAACCCUGUUAGGUGGUAGUAAAAUUACAUAAAGCACUAGUUUGCCUCCUGAAACUACACUUAGAGAUGAUAUGAUGAAGGCCCCUGGAGAAGGAAGAAUGGGAAGAAAUGUAUCUCAGGGGUCUAAUGAUAUGACAACUGAUAAUCCCAAUGGAAAAACAGAUUUCCACUAAGGAGAAUGGGCUGCUGGGUAAAGCAGCAGGCACUAGACACGUGGAAGGGAGAAACUCUAAGGGAUUAGGGGUGGCUCUUUAUAUCCUCCUUGCUGGCACCCCCACACCUGCUAAUUUUGCGUGCCAAGGUUUUGGAAGGCAUGAGAUGCCAUCUCUGUUCUUCAGUGCUCCUUUGUCACAGUGGGAGACAGGGAGCCGUAGGGAGGCAUCCACCAAUGAGAAGUGAAUGGGUUUGUACCAGGAGACUAUCUUAACAUUGUGGCAGUGGACCUAAGACCAUUUAUCAGAACAGCUACGGCAUGAAUGAGAAAGUUAGAAAUUGGAGCUUUUCUUGGGUGGACAUACUGCUCUUGGAAGUUACUAACAUUUUCUAGAAUGUUCUGGUGCAAAGGUGAGACUCUCAUUGUGAAGGGGUGGAAAAUAAGGAGAGCGUCCAUAUGUGGGAGUGCCCCGACAGGUGCUUUCACACUUGAAAAACUGCACUGAAAGGAAAUAGCAACAAAACUGUAACUGUAGCAUUUGGAAAAGGAGGGUGAUUUCGAUGGCCACAGAGCCGAUAGGCCAUUCUUAGAGAGAAAAAAAAAAUGUUGCAUCUUAUUUGUGUUCUACUCUUCCUAAAGACAGAAAGAAAAUGCUUUACUUGUAACCAACAUGAUUUUGAUCAAAGAGGUCUCUAAAAAUAUGACCAAUACUUCUUUGUCUGGUAUACAUUUAUGGAUGGGCUUCUCCAGCAGUAUGUUGAAACCACCUAGGUAACAUCUCAAAGAAGAGUUUGAAGUCUGGGUAGAAGAAGUCUAGUGGCCUAGAACAUUCUGGAACAGAUCAUCUCACCUCAGAACGAGCGACCCUUCAGGAAGACUUAUCUAUACUUUUUGUUCCACACCUACGUACACUCCCUUAAUUCUCCACCAGCUGACGGGUGUAGAGAGCUGCCCUGUGGACUCUGCCUCAUCCACCUUUGGCUCAGUUUCACCACCAAACGGAUGGUGGGAACGAUCCUCUGCUCUUCGCUGCCAGUGUCAGCAUCCUUUCUCUUAGUCUCAAGAAUGUUUCUGUUUGUGUGUCCUAUAAUUGCCACAAGAGACUAAGCUGUGUAAACUGCCUUCAAUAAACUUUCACAGUAAACAAAAUUCCAUCAUGAUCAUGCCUUGCUGAUGGAGUGCUGAGGAGGUCCAAGAGCUUACAAAGACUGUAAGAGAGCGAGGCAUGAAUUAGUCCACGGAGUCACUGAUUUAACCAGGAGUUUUAACUAGGGAGCUGAUAUUUUAAGGUACUGUGAGAAAGAGUUGAAACAAUAGCAGAUAUCUAAGCUGAGAGAAUGGGGGAUUCUGUGUGCACCUUCCAUUUCGUUUAGCCACCCUUGUCCCCACCCAUCUCUCUCCGCCUCCUCUGGUUCUGUAGGGAGCUGCUCUCUAACAGCUGUGCAUCAGGGAGGGUCAUCUGUUUACACCCCUCAAGCAUACUGUAGCCAAGUACAAUCAAGCCACGCUCAGGGAGUCUGAAACAGGACUCUUGCCUGAACCAAAGCUAUUUAGGUGCCAAGCACUGCAGGGGGUGGGGUGGGGGCACCAUAUUCUAGGCAUCAUUCUGUAGGACCCACUAAUUAGACCUGCCACCUUGAUAAUCAAUCAAGUUACAAAGCUGCCCGAUACUCUGUAGCUCUUCACAAGAAAUGUGUGGAGCCCCAAAGCUUCCUUGUUACCAGCCAGUAAAAAGCUACUCAUUGCUACCUAACUUUUUUUCCCCCAAGACUACACCAAGCUUUCCAACUUUGAUGUUGAACUAUGUUAACAAUGGCUGACUUGGAAAGUCCCUGUAGGGUUUGGAAGAAAUUAAUGUUAGCCCUCCUCUCAACAAAAAAACUAGGGGUUUGCAAAACACACCAUAUGCUUGUCACUUUGCCAAUGAAUCAAGAUGUUUUUGCAGCCUUCUGAGUCUGAAUAAUUAAUGGUAAUGUCUAAAGAUUACCCCAAGGCUCAGGGAGUGAGGAUGGGGUCUCCGCGGUGUCCAACAAGACUCAACCUCAACUCAACCCAAUAUUUCAUGUGAUAAAUGGCCAGGCUUCAUGAACAUCCCCACCACCCCACUCGUCACCAUUGUUCAUUCAUCGCCUGUUCCCAUUCCUCCCAUUUCUUACACAACUGGAUUCUCUGUUUUGCUUCAAGCAAAUGUUAUUACUUUUUACCCUUCCUCAGAUACAGCACUUGUUCCAACUGUCUCCAGCUUCUCCAAUGAUUAUCUUUCUAACUGGUACACUUUGGUAUUAGCUGCUUUGCUGCCAGGGGACUAGUUUCCCUUCAAUACAUUCUUGCCAAACAAUUAAUCUGAAUCAAUGAAUCCAGCUGAAUAGAUCAAUAGCCUAACUAAUUCUGGUGAUUAUGGCCAACAUGGAUUUUUCUAAAUAUUUUAAAAGAACAGAUAAUUAAGUUCUUAUUCUGUAAAUUAAUAUACACCCAUGAUCAUUUUAAAUAAAUGUUAGCCAUAUGAACUCUUAGGUAAAAGGAACCCUUCUUUAAUUUUUAUAAUCUUUUGGGGAAAUUAGUUUCUAGAGUUCAGUGUCUAUUGUUGAUUCAUUUCUUCUCUCUCAGAAAUGCCAUAAUAAAGUGCUAUUCAGUCUUCAACAGAAUGGUCCAUUUUUCUUGUUUGUGUUUGUUUGUAGACAUGGUCUCAUGCUAUAACCUAGACUUGCCAGGAACUUACCAUGAAGUCCAGGAUAUGAUGGAACUCCUGGCAACCUCCACAUCCUGGAUUCUGGCAUUACAGGUGUUCCCAACCAUGUCCACUUAUUUUUGAUUGUUGAUUUA